AUGUUUACUGUAAUGUAUUCUAUAGACUGCUACAUUGUCUAUGUAAAUAUUGUUGUUGUGAUACUAAUAAAGUUAUUGAUAAGUAACUAUAAGUCCUCUGUACUUCCCUUCUGCCUCUGUGUCCUUCAUUAUUAUAGUGUUUGGCAACUAUUGACCAAUAAGUCAAGUACACAGAACAGCCUGGUGGUAACAGUCUACUGGUGGUAACAGUCUGGUGGUAACAGCCUGGUGGUAACAGCCUGGUGGUGGUAACAGCCUGGUGGUGGUAACAGUCUGGUGGUGGUAACAGUCUGGUGGUAAGUCUGGUGGUAACAGUCUGGUGGUGGUAACAGUCUGGUGGUAACAGUCUGGUGGUGGUAACAGUCUGGUGGUAACAGCCUGGUGGUAACAGCCUGGUGGUAACAGUCUGGUGGUGGUAACAGUCUGGUGGUAACAGUCUGGUGGUGGUAACAGUCUGGUGGUGGUAACAGUCUGGUGGUGGUAACAGUCUGGUGGUGGUAACAGUCUGGUGGCAACAGUCUGGUGGCGGUAACAGCCUGGUGGUAACAGCCUGGUGGUAACAGCCUGGUGGUAACAGCCUGGUGGUAACAGCCUGGUGGUAACAGUCUGGUGGUGGUAACAGUCUGGUGGUAACAGUCUGGUGGUGGUAACGGUCUGGUGGUGGUAACAGUCUGGUGGUGGUAACAGUCUGGUGGUAACAGUCUGGUGGUGGUAACAGUCUGGUGGUAACAGUCUGGUGGUAACAGUCUGGUGGUAACAGUCUGGUGGUGGUAACAGUCUGGUGGUGGUAACAGUCUGGUGGUAACAGCCUGGUGGUAACAGCCUGGUGGUAACAGUCUGGUGGUGGUAACAGUCUGGUGGUAACAGUCUGGUGGUAACAGUCUGGUGGUGGUAACAGUCUGGUGGUGGUAACAGUCUGGUGGUGGUAACAGUCUGGUGGUGGUAACAGUCUGGUGGUGGUAACAGCCUGGUGGCGGUAACAGCCUGGUGGUAACAGUCUGGUGGUGGUAACAGUCUGGUGGUGGUAACAGCCUGGUGGUAACAGUCUGGUGGUGGUAACAGUCUACUGGUGGUAACCGCCUGGUGGUAACAGUCUGGUGGUAACAGCCGGUGGUGGUAACAGUCUGGCGGUAACAGUCUGGUGGUAACAGUCUGGUGGUGGUAACAGUCUGGUGGUGGUAACAGUCUGGUGGUGGUAACAGUCUGGUGGUGGUAACAGUCUGGUGGUGGUAACAGCCUGGUGGCGGUAACAGCCUGGUGGUAACAGUCUGGUGGUGGUAACAGUCUGGUGGUGGUAACAGCCUGGUGGUAACAGUCUGGUGGUGGUAACAGUCUACUGGUGGUAACCGCCUGGUGGUAACAGUCUGGUGGUAACAGCCGGGUGGUGGUAACAGUCCGGUGGUGGUAACAGUCUGGUGGUAACAGUCUGGUGGUGGUAACAGUCUGGUGGUAACAGUCUGGUGGUGGUAACAGUCUGGUGGUGGUAACAGUCUGGUGGUGGUAACAGUCUGGUGGUGGUAACAGUCUGGUGGUGGUAACAGUCUGGUGGUAACAGCCUGGUGGUAACAGCCUGGUGGUAACAGCCUGGUGGUAACAGCCUGGUGGUAACAGUCUGGUGGUGGUAACAGUCUGGUGGUGGUAACAGUCUGGUGGUGGUAACAGUCUGGUGGUAACAGUCUAGUGGUGGUAACAGUCUGGUGGUAACAGUCUGGUGGUGGUAACAGUCUGGUGGUGGUAACAGCCUGGUGGUGGUAACAGUCUGGUGGUGGUAACAUCCUGGUAGUGGUAACAGUCUGGUGGUAAGUCUGGUGGUAACAGCCUGGUGGUGGUAACAGCCUGGUGGUGGUAACAGCCUGGUGGUGGUAACAGUCUGGUGGUGGUAACAGUCUGGUGGUAAGUCUGGUGGUAACAGUCUACUGGUGGUAACAGUCUGGUGGUGGUAACAGCCUGGUGGUGGUAACAGUCUGGUGGUAAGUCUGGUGGUAAGUCUGGUGGUAACAGUCUACUGGUGGUAACAGCCUGGUGGUGGUAACAGUCUGGUGGUGGUAACAGCCUGGUGGUGGUAACAGUCUGGUGGUGGUAACAGUCUGGUGGUGGUAACAGCCUGGUGGUGGUAACAGUCUGAUGGUGGUAACAGUCUGGUGGUGGUAACAGCCUGGUGGUGGUAACAGUCUGGUGGUGGUAACAGUCUGGUGGUAACAGUCUGGUGGUAACAGUCUGGUGGUAACAGUCUGGUGGUAACAGUCUACUGGUUGUAACAGUCUACUGGUGGUAACAGUUUGGUGGUAACAGUCUGGUGGUGGUAGCAGUCUGGUUGUAACAGCCUGGUGGUGGUGGUAACAGUCUACUGGUGGUAACAGCCUACUGGUGGUAACAGCCUGGUGGCGGUAACAACCUGGUGGUAACAGUCUGGUGGUGGUAACAGUCUGGUGGUGGUAACAGCCUGGUGGUAACCGUCUGGUGGUAACAGCCGGGUGGUGGUAACAGUCUACUGGUGGUAACAGCCUACUGGUGGUAACAGCCUGGUGGCGGUAACAGCCUGGUGGUAACAGUCUGGUGGUGGUAACAGUCUGGUGGUGGUAACAGCCUGGUGGUAACAGUCUGGUGGUAACAGCCGGGUGGUGGUAACAGUCUACUGGUGGUAACAGCCUACUGGUGGUAACAGCCUACUGGUGGUAACAGCCUACUGGUGGUAACAGCCUGGUGGUAACAGUCUGGUGGUGGUAACAGUCUGGUGGUGGUAACAGUCUGGUGGUGGUAACAGUCUGGUGGUGGUAACAGUCUGGUGGUGGUAACAGUCUGGUGGUAACAGCCUGGUGGUAACAGUCUGGUGGUGGUAACAGUCUGGUGGUGGUAACAGUCUGGUGGUAACAGUCUGGUGGUGGUAACAGUCUGGUGGUGGUAACAGUCUGGUGGUGGUAACAGUCUGGUGGUGGUAACAGUCUGGUGGUGGUAACAGCCUGGUGGUAACAGCCUGGUGGUAACAGCCUGGUGGUAACAGUCUGGUGGUGGUAACAGUCUGGUGGUGGUAACAGUCUGGUGGUAACAGUCUAGUGGUGGUAACAGUCUGGUGGUGGUAACAGUCUGGUGGUAACAGUCUGGUGGUGGUAACAGUCUGGUGGUGGUAACAGCCUGGUGGUGGUAACAGUCUGGUGGUGGUAACAGCCUGGUGGUGGUAACAGUCUGGUGGUAAGUCUGGUGGUAACAGUCUACUGGUGGUAACAGCCUGGUGGUGGUAACAGCCUGGUGGUGGUAACAGUCUGGUGGUGGUAACAGUCUGGUGGUAAGUCUGGUGGUGACAGUCUACUGGUGGUAACAGUCUGGUGGUAACAGCCUGGUGGUGGUAACAGUCUGGUGGUGGUAACAGUCUGGUGGUGAUAACAGCCUGGUGGUGGUAACAGUCUGAUGGUGGUAACAGUCUAUAGACU
This 3428-nucleotide long non-coding RNA is filed under the name Oncorhynchus kisutch (coho salmon). RNAcentral's name for it is "lncRNA (ENSOKIG00005024585.1)". Lineage: Eukaryota; Metazoa; Chordata; Actinopteri; Salmoniformes; Salmonidae. The record is from RNAcentral.